AUAGCGUAUAUUAAAGUUGUUGCAGUUAAAAAGCUCGUAGUUGAACUUCAGACCUGGCCGGAUGGUCUACCUCACGGUAUGUACUGUCUGGCUGGGUCUUACCUCUUGGUGAGCCGGCAUGCCCUUUACUGGGUGUGUUGGGGAACCAGGACUUUUACCUUGAGAAAAUUAGAGUGUUCAAAGCAGGCCUAUGCCCGAAUACAUUAGCAUGGAAUAAUAAAAUAGGACGUGCGGUUCUAUUUUGUUGGUUUCUAGAGUCGCCGUAAUGAUUAAUAGGGAUAGUUGGGGGCAUUGGUAUUGAGUCGCUAGAGGUGAAAUUCUUGGAUUGACUCAAGACCAACUAUUG
Molecule: ribosomal RNA, 346 nt
Filed under: uncultured eukaryote
Lineage: Eukaryota
Description: SSU rRNA
Rfam family: Eukaryotic small subunit ribosomal RNA
Source: RNAcentral